CAGUAUCCACGGAAGAUGUGAAGAAGCUGCUUACCGAAGCCUUGUCUACCAACAACGACAUCUCCAUUGUUUCCGCUCUGUUCGAUGAUGAUAUAAAGUACGAAACGAAUAUUCUACAAUCUGCACUGGCUCUUUGGGAUAGUCUAGUCAAGAAGGGGGUGCAACUACAAGGU
Molecule: long non-coding RNA, 173 nt
Organism: Physella acuta
Lineage: Eukaryota; Metazoa; Mollusca; Gastropoda; Physidae
Source: RefSeq, a predicted model, not a curated record